GAUUGAAAAAACUAUAAACAAGCCAUGAACCAUUCAUGCUCAGAAAACUUGGAUGAACGUGAAGAUAUAAAUAUGGGCCUCAAAUCUGACAGCCCAUAUUAUAUAUGUCUUUUCAAGAGAACUUUUUACUUUAAUUUGCAUCAGUUAACAACUUCCAGCAUCUUCAUGCACUUGAGCAUCUCCUUUGAAGAUAAAUCUUUCCUCUAAUUAGAAUUGAAACAGUUUUCAGUGAUUAUUCCCUUCUUUUGAAGAAUUCAGUGAUAAAUCUGAACAUGUUGGUGGUUUUAUGAUUCCCUAGACAUUUACGCAUGAACAUAGUCUCAAACAUAGUGUUUUUUUUUUUUCU
RNAcentral lists this unclassified non-coding RNA (346 nucleotides) under Hevea brasiliensis (rubber tree). The record is from RNAcentral. Lineage: Eukaryota; Viridiplantae; Streptophyta; Magnoliopsida; Malpighiales; Euphorbiaceae.